CCCUUAGAUGUCCGGGGCCGCACGCGCGCUACACUGAAGGAAUCAGCGUGGCUUUCUCCCUGACCCGAAAGGGUUGGGAAACCCGUUGAAUCUCCUUCGUGAUAGGGAUUGGGGCUUGAAAUUGUUCCCCAUGAACGAGGAAUUCCUAGUAAGCACAAGUCAUCAGCUUGUGUUGAUUACGUCCCUGCCCUUUGUACACACCGCCCGUCGCUCCUACCGAUUGAAUGUUCCGGUGAGCUCUUCGGACUGCGCGGUCUGCAGUUUCUGCGUUCCGUGCGGAAAGUUGUGCAAACCUUAACAUUUAGAGGAAGGAGAAGUCGUAACA
This 325-nucleotide ribosomal RNA is filed under the name uncultured eukaryote. RNAcentral's name for it is "partial 18S ribosomal RNA". It matches the Rfam family "Eukaryotic small subunit ribosomal RNA", at positions 1470 to 1796 of the family's 1831-position model. The record is from RNAcentral.